This 73-nucleotide transfer RNA is filed under the name Ovis aries (sheep). It matches the Rfam family "tRNA". Rfam says of the family: Transfer RNA (tRNA) molecules are approximately 80 nucleotides in length. Their secondary structure includes four short double-helical elements and three loops (D, anti-codon, and T loops). Lineage: Eukaryota; Metazoa; Chordata; Mammalia; Artiodactyla; Bovidae. The record is from Rfam by way of RNAcentral.
UCCCUGGUGGUCCAGUGGUCCAGGACUUGGCACUUCCAUUGCCAUCACUCAGGUUCAAUCCCUGGUCGGAGAA